UUGUUGUUUUUAAAAGACAGCCGUUGGCUUAAGUGUGCCAACACACUUGUGCCUUAAGUUGCUAUGCCUAAAGCUUCACUGUCGGAGUGCUGAAGGUGAGACAGGACACACAAACUCUUUUUAAACGAGUAUGCUGAAAAGUAAAACUAGUCUUUUUAGGCAAGUCCUGUCAUGUCACUGACCACCCUUUCUGCCCUCUCUGGACCUUUUCAUUCUCUGCUUUACCUUUAAGCGAAGUAACCUGAACUCAAUAAAGUAAUUUAAAUCAGGAUGUA
Chelonia mydas (Green sea turtle) is the source of this 275-nucleotide long non-coding RNA. RefSeq lists it as uncharacterized. The record is from RefSeq and is a predicted model, not a curated record. The transcript has 2 exons. Lineage: Eukaryota; Metazoa; Chordata; Testudines; Cheloniidae.